Molecule: RNA transcript, 5036 nt
Organism: Bubalus bubalis (water buffalo)
Lineage: Eukaryota; Metazoa; Chordata; Mammalia; Artiodactyla; Bovidae
Gene: ZHX1
Gene name: zinc fingers and homeoboxes 1
Exons: 5
Source: RefSeq, a predicted model, not a curated record
CCCGCCGUGCGCCAAUCCCGGGGGCAGAGACCCGGGUCGAACCCCAGGGGAGCAGCAGGGUCCCAGGGUAGAGAGCCAGGCGCGGAGCGGGGUGGGGGCGCGCGGAAGGCGCGCGCGCGCGGGAGGGCCCCGCCUCGGCCGGCUCUUCCCCUCCCCCCUCCCGCCUCCGGUCGGCUGCUGGGGCGCGCGCCUCGCCUCGCACCCCCACCCCCGACUCUCUGCGCUCCGCCGGGUCCGCCGCGCUGCCGAAGCCGUGAGCCGGCCCACCGAGCGGUUCCGGGUAUAGGGUUCACAGGUCAGAGUUGACUCCCUGAAAAGUGCAGCCGGUUUGAAAUGCAAGAUGGCGGCGGCGGGGCUCUGAGAGGCGCGGCGGCCCCUGCAGGUGAUGGCAGAUAGGUACUUUGGACCUGUUAGUAAUGAUGGCCUGAGCUAAACACCUCCUAAUUUGAAGGGACACCCUUCCGUGUCAAAGAACAGAAUGGGGAGGAGACUGUGGCAGGUGAUUGGAGUUGUGCUUCAAAAAUUUCAGCAGUUCUGCAGUAUUUUAUUUGCCAACCAUAAGCUCUUUACUUGAUUGCACCAUGAAAAAGCUGCUAAUGAGACUUGCUGAGCACAAAGACAGACUUGAAGAACCAAAAGCCAUUGUUUUCAAAUGAAGGAUACUGAACAGUUUUAAGCCCCAAUGCUUUUUAAUCACCACUGAGAUUUUCCCCCCAUAACAUCAGAAUGGCAAGCAGGCGAAAAUCUACAACACCCUGCAUGGUCCUUGCCAGUGAACAGGAUCCAGACCUCGAGUUGGUAUCAGAUUUCGACGAAGGUCCGCCUGUACUUACACCCAUAGAAAACACCAGAACAGAGAGUGUCUCAAGUGAUGAAGAAGUUCAUGAGUCCGUGGAUUCUGACAAUCAGCAAAAUAAAAAAGUUGAAGGUGGCUAUGAAUGUAAAUACUGUACUUUCCAAACUCCAGAUCUAAAUAUGUUUACUUUUCAUGUGGAUUCAGAACAUCCCAAUGUAGUGCUAAAUUCAUCCUAUGUUUGUGUUGAAUGCAAUUUUCUUACCAAAAGGUAUGAUGCACUUUCUGAGCAUAAUCUGAAAUAUCACCCAGGAGAAGAGAAUUUUAAGUUGACUAUGGUAAAACGAAAUAACCAGACAAUCUUUGAACAAACAAUAAAUGAUCUGACUUUUGAUGGUAGUUUUGUUAAGGAGGAGAAUUCAGAGCAAGCUGAAUCUACAGAAGUUUCUUCUUCAGGAAUAUCUAUCAGUAAAACCCCUAUCAUGAAAAUGAUGAAAAAUAAAGUGGAGAACAAACGGAUUACAGUUCAUCGUAAUUCAGCUGAGGACGUUCCGGAAGAGAAAGAGAACGAAAUCAAACCAGACCGUGAAGAAACUGUGGAAAAUCCAAGCUCUUCGGCUUCUGAAUCAAAUGCAAGUACUUCUGUUGUAAACAGAAUCCACCCACAUGCUGCCAGCACGGUUGUGGCCCCGGCAGCAGUUCUUCCUGGGUUAGCACAGGUGAUCACGGCAGUAUCAGCUCAGCAGAAUUCCAGUUUGAUUCCCAAAGUCCUAAUCCCUGUUAAUAGCAUUCCUACCUACAAUGCUGCAUUGGAUAACAACCCCCUUUUGCUUAACACCUACAACAAAUUCCCUUAUCCAACAAUGUCAGAGAUAACUGUUCUUUCUGCUCAAGCAAAAUAUACAGAGGAACAGAUCAAGAUAUGGUUUUCAGCCCAACGUCUAAAACACGGUGUUAGCUGGACUCCCGAGGAAGUAGAGGAGGCAAGAAGGAAACAGUUCAACGGAACAGUACACACUGUACCUCAGACCAUAACUGUCAUUCCCACCCACAUCUCCGCGGGGAGUAAUGGUUUACCAUCCAUCUUACAGACAUGCCAAAUAGUUGGCCAGCCGGGUCUGGUCCUCACACAAGUAGGUGGCACAAACACCUUGCCAGUAACGGCACCUAUAGCCUUGACAGUGGCAGGGGUUCCAAAUCAAACGAAUGUACAGAAAAGUCAGGUCCCCACUACUCAGCCGACCACAGAAACCAAGCCAGCAACAGCAGCAGUCCCAUCCGCUCAGCUGGUCAAACAUGAAGCCACAUUGGCAAACCCUGAUUCAUUUGGCAUUCGGGCUAAAAAGACUAAAGAGCAGCUGGCAGAAUUAAAAGUCAGCUACCUGAAGAAUCAGUUUCCCCAUGAUGCUGAAAUUAUCAGACUGAUGAAAAUCACAGGACUGACCAAAGGAGAGAUUAAAAAAUGGUUUAGUGACACAAGGUACAACCAGAGAAAUUCAAAGAGUAAUCAGUGCUUACAUCUCAACAAUGACUCCUCUGCCACUAUCAUCAUAGACUCGAGCGAUGAAAUCACAGAAUCCCCAGCUGUUGUGACUUCACAGCAGAAACAGUCCUGGAAUCCUUUUCCUGACUUUACUCCCCAGAAGUUUAAAGAGAAGACAGCGGAGCAGCUUCGUGCCCUGCAGGCAAGUUUUCUCAACAGCUCCGUACUUACAGAAGAAGAACUAAAUAGGUUAAGAGCGCAAACCAAACUCACCAGAAGGGAAAUUGAUGCUUGGUUUACAGAGAAGAAGAAAUCAAAAGCUUUAAAGGAAGAGAAAGUGGAAGUAGAGGAAAGCAAUGCAGGUAGUUCCAAAGAAGAAGCUGGAGAAACUUCUCCUGGAGAUGAAACUAGUGCACCUAAGUCAGGGAGUACUGGCAAGAUAUGUAAAAAAACACCCGAGCAGCUGCACAUGCUUAAAAGUGCAUUUGUCCGAACACAGUGGCCAUCACCAGAAGAGUAUGACAAGUUGGCUGAAGAAAGCGGGCUUGCUAGAACAGACAUAGUUAGUUGGUUUGGGGACACCCGUUAUGCUUGGAAAAAUGGAAACUUAAAAUGGUACUACUACUAUCAAAGCGCCAAUUCAAGUAGCAUGAAUGGUCUGUCUUCUCUUAGGAAAAGGGGGAGAGGGAGACCAAAAGGCAGGGGGAGAGGAAGACCUCGCGGGCGGCCCAGAGGAGGCAAGAGAAUGAACAACUGGGACAGGGGGCCGUCCCUCAUCAAAUUUAAAACUGGAACUGCAAUACUUAAGGAUUAUUAUCUGAAGCACAAAUUUCUUAAUGAGCAAGACCUCGAUGAACUUGUUAACAGAUCACAUAUGGGUUACGAGCAGGUCAGAGAAUGGUUUGCCGAAAGACAGAGAAGAUCGGAGUUAGGUAUAGAAUUAUUUGAGGAAAACGAGGAGGAAGAUGAAGUUAUUGAUGAUCAGGAAGAGGAGGAAGAAGAAACAGAUGACAGUGACACUUGGGAACCCCCACGACAUGUGAAGCGGAAGCUUUCUAAAUCAGAUGACUGAAAUGGAAAGUUACCCAUUCUCCAGAAGGAAGACUGGUGGUGGUUUGAAGAUUAACACAUACUAAAGAUAACUAAAAUCUGCCUAAAACGUUGGAGGAGAAUCAAUUCUUCAACUCCAGAUGUCUGAUUUACUGUGAAUGGCCCAAUCUUUGAUGACAUUGAAAACGUUUGGGGGCAUAUACAAUCUCAAAAAAUAGGAUCCAAUACCCAAAAGAAAUGGAAUUCAGUGUUGUGCCAAAGUUAAACUACUGCAAAUGGCAGAAGUCCUACAAUGUACAUAGAACACUAAUUAAAAAAACAACUUGUAAAAAUUCAGAUUUUAAUACAGUACAUUUUUAUUCUGAUAUGAUGGAGACAUUCUGAUUCUUAGACUUUCUGAGGAAGUUUAAUGACCACUAGAGCUUGUCCUCAUAUUUUUUUCAGCUUAAUACUGUGUGUCUUGUAAGAUGGGCCUUAUUGCCUGUAUUCUUUGAUAUGUGAUUAAGCCUAUAGCUUUCAGUGACCAAACAUUUUACAGAGCAAAAAUUGUUAGAAGCAGGAAAAAGAAAAAUCUGGUUUAUUUCUAUGUCUCAUUUAUCAGGCCCUGCACUAAGAUUAAGAGUUGUGCAUGGGUUUAUAUAAUUUCAAUGUAUGUAAAAAACUAUUGACACAUGUUGGAGCAAAGAGGUUUUGUGGUAUCAUUGGCGCUUAAUGAUUGGACCUUUCAUUGAACACAUUCAUGGAUACCACUAUUACUACUUGUAAUACUCCAUUACUGUUUUUCAUUAGAAACUGAAUUAGCUUUUUUUUUUUUUUUAAACUGAACAUAAUCAGUACUGAAGAAGGGAAAGAAACUGGCAUAGGAAUUUCAAGAGGGUGAAACUCUGAAAUAAAUGUUGUACCAAAAAUGUGAAAAGGAAUCAUGUAGUAAAUAUUAACUUACUCUUUUCUUACAAUCAGAGAGAAAUCAGAAAUGUUUGUACAGGUGUCAGAUCAGAGCUUUCAAAAAUUAUCUUUCAGUGAAAUUCUACUCUGUGUAACAGUUUCAGUGAAUAAAGAAAAAGAAUUCUGAACUGAUCAGAAUGAGUUAAAGCUUAGCUCUUCACUUAUGAAUUAUGGGAGUGUUAACUGUUAACUCUUGCCAUUUCAGGAGACUGAAAGUUCCUCCUAACUCAUAAACUUUGUAAAGACCGGUGCUGUUCAUUCGUGUUGAGAAGGAUCCUUUUCUUUGUGACUAUAGGACCAUUUUUCAAAAUGUGCUUUCUUCAUAGAAGAAAUGUUCAGUUUCAUUAGCUUUGGAUUUUAAGAUGUUUUUCUGAAUGACCAGAUGUAGUGGGCUUGGCCAGUUUAUUUUAUCUAAUUUAAUGAAUAAUAAAUAUUAAGCUCUUGUUUUUACCUUAAUGUUUUGUCAGCUAAUGAAAAUGUUAUGAAAAAGCCUUGACUAUGCAUGCUGCUUUCAUUUUUAUAAACUUUUCAUUUUUAACUAUAGCUUUAUUAGUAAUUCCAAAAUGCUGCAAUUUAGCUGAUUUCUUCACUCAGACAGCUGGCUUUGUGGGUGGCUUUUUCAUACUACUGUUAACUUUUUAAAGAGAAGCAAUGUAAAGACUGUAACAAUUUAAUGCACUAAACUGUUCUUUCUUUUACACGUUUAAAAACUUCUUAAAGCACUCUGUAUUAUAAAGAUUAAAUUGCUCCCUUUUUUAAACCAUU